This is a non-coding RNA of Potamilus streckersoni, 77 nucleotides long. The record is from the annotation of a GenBank genome assembly. Lineage: Eukaryota; Metazoa; Mollusca; Bivalvia; Unionida; Unionidae.
GACUGCUCUGGUGGCCUUGUGGUUAAAGUGUCCGCCUUGGAUGCGGGAGUAAGUGGGUUCGAUACCCGGCCGAGUCA